RNAcentral lists this ribosomal RNA (502 nucleotides) under uncultured bacterium. RNAcentral describes it as "partial 16S ribosomal RNA". It matches the Rfam family "Bacterial small subunit ribosomal RNA", at positions 30 to 523 of the family's 1533-position model. The record is from RNAcentral.
AUUGAACGCUGGCGGCGUGCCUAACACAUGCAAGUCGAGCGGUAACAGGUGUAGCAAUACAUGCUGACGAGCGGCGGACGGGUGAGUAAUGCUUCGGAAUCUACCUUAUGGGGGGGAAUAACUAGCCGAAAGGUUAGCUAAUACAGCAUACGUCCUACGGGAGAAAGCAGGGGAUCGUAAGACCUUGCGCCAAAAGGUGGGACGAAGUCGGAUUAGCUAGUUGGUAGGGUAACGGCCUACCAAGGCGACGAUCCGUAGCUAGUCUGAGAGGACGACCAGCCACACUGGGACUGAGACACGGCCCAGACUCCUACGGGAGGCAGCAGUGGGGAAUAUUGGACAAUGGGGGAAACCCUGAUCCAGCGACGCCGCGUGUGUGAAGAAGGCCUGCGGGUUGUAAAGCACUUUUAGUGGGGAUGAAAUGUGCAGGGUUAGUACCUCUGCAUUUUGACCUAACCCACAGAAAAAGCACCGGCUAACUCUGUGCCAGCCGCCGCGGUAA